UGCAGUCGACGGUAACAGGGAGCUUGCUCCGCUGACGAGUGGCGAACGGGUGAGUAAUAUAUCGGAACGUACCCAAGAGUGGGGGAUAACGUAGCGAAAGUUACGCUAAUACCGCAUACGAUCCAAGGAUGAAAGCAGGGGACCUUCGGGCCUUGUGCUCCUGGAGCGGCCGAUAUCUGAUUAGCUAGUUGGUGAGGUAAAGGCUCACCAAGGCGACGAUCAGUAGCUGGUCUGAGAGGACGACCAGCCACACUGGAACUGAGACACGGUCCAGACUCCUACGGGAGGCAGCAGUGGGGAAUUUUGGACAAUGGGCGCAAGCCUGAUCCAGCAAUGCCGCGUGAGUGAAGAAGGCCUUCGGGUUGUAAAGCUCUUUUGUCAGGGAAGAAACGGUUGCGGCUAAUAUCCGCGACUAAUGACGGUACCUGAAGAAUAAGCACCGGCUAACUACGUGCCAGCAGCCGCGGUAAUACGUAGGGUGCAAGCGUUAAUCGGAAUUACUGGGCGUAAAGCGUGCGCAGGCGGUUUUGUAAGUCUGACGUGAAAUCCCCGGGCUCAACCUGGGAAUUGCGUUGGAGACUGCAAGGCUAGAAUCUGGCAGAGGGGGGUAGAAUUCCACGUGUAGCAGUGAAAUGCGUAGAGAUGUGGAGGAACACCGAUGGCGAAGGCAGCCCCCUGGGUCAAGAUUGACGCUCAUGCACGAAAGCGUGGGGAGCAAACAGGAUUAGAUACCCUGGUAGUCCACGCCCUAAACGAUGUCUACUAGUUGUCGGGUUUUAAUUAACUUGGUAACGCAGCUAACGCGUGA
Molecule: ribosomal RNA, 808 nt
Filed under: Massilia sp. 8BK
Lineage: Bacteria; Pseudomonadati; Pseudomonadota; Betaproteobacteria; Burkholderiales; Oxalobacteraceae
Description: bacterial SSU rRNA
Rfam family: Bacterial small subunit ribosomal RNA
Source: RNAcentral